Long non-coding RNA from Poecile atricapillus (Black-capped chickadee), 1438 nucleotides. RefSeq lists it as uncharacterized. The transcript has 4 exons. Lineage: Eukaryota; Metazoa; Chordata; Aves; Passeriformes; Paridae. The record is from RefSeq and is a predicted model, not a curated record.
CUUCACGGCCCGGCACGGGCCCCGGCCUGUCCCGGGCUCGGGGUGUCGCUGGAACAGGGCCUCUGCGCUCCUGCUCCGGCCACAGCGUACAGUGCUCUCGGUCAGGUUUUCUGACCUUUCUUGUAAUUGGGCGCGCUCGCGGCGCCGUGCUGUGGGAGCUGGUGAAACAGCGGUAAUGGCUCCGCUGGGCUGCCGUGAGGCAGCGCGUCUGAGGGGUCACGUUAAAGCAGGCAUUGCCCGUUCCGAGGGACUGUCGCGGACUCAGAGAAUCCCAGAACAGUUCGGGUUGGAACAGACCUCAGUGCAAGCCCGCUGCCAAGGCAGGGUCACCCAGAGCAGGUGACACAGGAACGCGUCCAGGAGUAAUGAGACCUCUCCCAAUGACUCAGUGAUACUCUCCUCACCAGGUAUUUCAACAGGACCUGCCCUUACCAAAGAAGAGUUUUGCUGACAGCUUCCCAGCACUGCAGAGAUCCCUGACUUUCUGAGCUAUCUUGCCACUGCAAUUAAUGCCAGCUGAGGAUUAAAUAACUUCAGUGGGCUUCUGUUAACCUGUACUGCUCCAACCUCUACACUGUGUGUGGUGCUCUGUUGGCUCUGCACAGACCUGGAGAGCUACAGUUUUCCAGCUUCCAUACUCCCACUGUUGGUACAGAAAAGCUUCAGGAAUCAAGCUGUCACUUUAGGUUUCCACAGCUGUUUAUAGAAGUGUAGCCAUGAACCCCAGGGAAGCUGAUGUGCACCGACCCUCCUGAGUGGCUCUUCGUGAUCUUGUAGUAUGAAAUAACAUUGAAAAAUCUGCUUUUUUCACCUUGCCUGUGUGUCCAGAGGUGGAGUUUGUCAUCCAAAGUCUGAAACAGAGGUGCACCAGAGUACAGCAGUGCUCAGUGUACUUCCUGCAGCCAGAGGUAUCCACAAGCUCCAGGGAGCAGGGAUAAUACCAGAGCACACCUUGUCCAGGAAGCAGAAAUGCCCCCGUGGGAGCAAGAGGAACAGCCUGCUGCCUCUGGAAAGGUGACUGCUCAGCAGGGGAGCUGGCACAGAAAGGACACGGGUGGAGCCUGCAGGGCAGCCUGUUCCUCCGACAAUGCCUCUGUGUCAGCAUCUUCUCCCUCUCCCGAGGUUCCAAGGGGAAUGGGGGGGAAGGCAUUGCCAAGCUUUAUGUAACCUCCAGGCCUGGAAAGAGGUGCAUGCUGGGGCUCCCUCUCCCCACACAGCACCCCAGCAUGCAGGCACGCCUCCACACCCUUCUCUUUGCACAAGGCAAGAGAGACCUCCCACAAGAUCAUCUCCCACCUCUACUGUGCAUCUGUUCAUUUUCUGCCUGUCAAGCCUUCUCAGAAUUUAAAAGAUCUUACAAGAGAUAGGGGAACAAGCUUUCAAGUUUGAGUGCAUCAGAUCUGGACAGAUCUGAUAUCAAACGUGAAUUUUUAUUGCU